AAUAUAUAGUUACUAACAUGUAACAAAUAAAAUUGAUGUUCAAAUCAUCCACAACCAUCAAAUAUAACAAUAAAAUUACUCCAAAUCUCUAAACUUAAUAAAAACGUGCAUAUAAACCCUAUUCUGAUUUCGCAUCAUUAUCCAAUAAACACAUAAGUGACACUGCCGUCAAAUAAUUAUUAAUCUGACCAAAUUCAAGGAAUGCCAUUGUCAGAUAAAAUUUUAAAGGGCUUCAAAUUAAAUUGGAUGAAUUUGAGAGAUAGUGAUAGUGGUAAAAUUUUGUGGCAAGAAAAUGAUGAUAUAUCAAAACCUGGAGUAGAACAUAUGGCUAAAAUCCCUAAAAAAAUUUUAAGGUGUAAAGCCAUUUCAAGAGAAUUAAAUUUUUUUUCUGCAGAAUCUAUGGAAAAAUUUAGAUUAGAACAAAAAGUAUUAUUUAAUGGAAUAUGUCUGGAAAAUUGGUAUUUUGAAUUUGGUUUUGUAAUACCAGGGAGUACAAAUACCUGGCAAUCAUUAAUUGAGGCAGCUCCUGAAAGUCAAAUGAUACCUGCCAAUUUGUUAAAACUUUGCAGAUCUUUAUACUACAUUAUCACUCCUUGCCUGCGUCCCAAAGGAAGAUAUUGGCAUUCCGUUUGAUAAUUUGGCAGAAAUAUUUCGAUAAAUAUAUGUCCUCCAACCUUAUUUCCUUCUUUGAGUAAACUUAUAUUCUAUGGGAACGUGGUAAUAGAAACAAAUUUUUAUGAUGGAGAUGAUUUAAUAAGCACAUCUAAGGUUCGAUUAUACUACACCUAAAUCAAUCAAAUUCUAACGAUGUCCAACUCACAAUUGUUAUAGAGAUCAGACUAAUACAAA
Gordionus sp. m RMFG-2023 is the source of this 849-nucleotide RNA transcript. It is a transcript of the gene named retinal rod rhodopsin-sensitive cGMP 3',5'-cyclic phosphodiesterase subunit delta-like, with no coding region annotated. NCBI's taxonomy places the organism in Eukaryota, Metazoa, Nematomorpha, Gordioida, Chordodea, Parachordodidae. The record is from RefSeq and is a predicted model, not a curated record. The transcript is spliced from 6 exons.